CUGCAGGCAUUCUUCCUUACUCUGUCCCAGAACAGUCUCUCCGUGCCACUUUGCUACUACACAAAGGGACAGCACCAAUCUACACACUUUCAAAAAGGUGUAAAGUCAUCUUUGCAACAUUCGGGAAAAGAAUUACACAGGAUCCCUGAACCAUCCCCAAAGAGAAUCUUACCUGUUUGGAAACACAAACUGAGCAAACGAAUGUACAAAUGUGUCAAAAGUAACCAUAAUUGCACACAUUGCUAUUCCUCACAAGUGCCCUCUUCAUUCCCCUGUGAUUAUGCAAAGCAUGUAAAUGCCAUAGAAUCCAGUCUUGCACCUUCAUCAGCAAUUGCAAGUGGCACCAGCAGGCUACAGGACAGCUUACGCAAAGUCAAGAGACAGUAUUUAUGCCAUGCUGCAAUAAAAAUAAAUUGUACUUUAAAAAAAUCAAGUUAAACAGGUGAUGUACGCCUUGCUUAUUCAGACUGAAGCAUGCUGCAAAUAUUUCACAGAUUCUUCAAAAGAAUGGAUAAUUCAAAUUCAAAGGAAUCCUCAAACUGCAAUC
Molecule: non-coding RNA, 547 nt
Organism: Equus caballus (horse)
Lineage: Eukaryota; Metazoa; Chordata; Mammalia; Perissodactyla; Equidae
Source: RefSeq, a predicted model, not a curated record